CUCAAUUACCUUAAACCUGCAAUUUUCUGGCCACUCCGUAGCCUACAUAAUACAGUAAACUACUGCUCAUGUUUUCUAAGAAUGGUGUAUCAAAUAUCUGAGAAUAAAUAUCACUCCCAACCACAAUUAUAUUAGGCUAAAUGUUAACCUAUCAUUUUUGGCCUCUGUAGGGAGGUAGCUGACUGAAAUCACUAUCCCUUAAAAUUAUCUUGCACCUUUAUUUACAAUAAUAUAAAGAAGCUCAUAAAAAUAUUAUAUCAAUUUUGGUAGGCUAAGAAAAAAGACUACUGGCUAGCAGACAU
Pelobates cultripes (western spadefoot toad) is the source of this 302-nucleotide non-coding RNA. Lineage: Eukaryota; Metazoa; Chordata; Amphibia; Anura; Pelobatidae. The record is from the annotation of a GenBank genome assembly.